RNAcentral lists this ribosomal RNA (697 nucleotides) under Klebsiella aerogenes. RNAcentral describes it as "partial 23S ribosomal RNA". It matches the Rfam family "Bacterial large subunit ribosomal RNA", at positions 125 to 867 of the family's 2925-position model. Lineage: Bacteria; Pseudomonadati; Pseudomonadota; Gammaproteobacteria; Enterobacterales; Enterobacteriaceae. The record is from RNAcentral. RNAcentral also lists the same sequence under 6 other names.
AACCCAGUGCAAUUCGUUGCACUAUCGUUAACUGAAUACAUAGGUUAACGAGGCGAACCGGGGGAACUGAAACAUCUAAGUACCCCGAGGAAAAGAAAUCAACCGAGAUUCCCCCAGUAGCGGCGAGCGAACGGGGAGCAGCCCAGAGUCUGAAUCAGCUUGUGUGUUAGUGGAACGGUCUGGAAAGUCCGACGGUACAGGGUGAUAGUCCCGUACACCAAAAUGCACAGGUUGUGAACUCGAAGAGUAGGGCGGGACACGUGGUAUCCUGUCUGAAUAUGGGGGGACCAUCCUCCAAGGCUAAAUACUCCUGACUGACCGAUAGUGAACCAGUACCGUGAGGGAAAGGCGAAAAGAACCCCGGCGAGGGGAGUGAAAAAGAACCUGAAACCGUGUACGUACAAGCAGUGGGAGCACCUUCGGGUGUGACUGCGUACCUUUUGUAUAAUGGGUCAGCGACUUAUAUUCUGUAGCAAGGUUAACCGUAUAGGGGAGCCGCAGGGAAACCGAGUCUUAACUGGGCGUUAAGUUGCAGGGUAUAGACCCGAAACCCGGUGAUCUAGCCAUGGGCAGGUUGAAGGUUGGGUAACACUAACUGGAGGACCGAACCGACUAAUGUUGAAAAAUUAGCGGAUGACUUGUGGCUGGGGGUGAAAGGCCAAUCAAACCGGGAGAUAGCUGGUUCUCCCCGAAAGCU